AUGGAAGCAGCAGACGAGGAGAGGCCACUUCUGAACCACCGUUGCCUGCCUCCACAGCCGCAGGACGAGUGUUCAAGAUACACCAGUGAUGGAACAGUUGAUGUCUACAGACAGCCUGCUCUCAAGCAGAGCACCGGCAACUGGAGAGCAUGCGUCUUCAUCCUAGGCGCCGAAUUCAGCGAGUGCUUGUGCUUCUUCGCCGUCUCCAAGAACUUGGUCACCUACCUCACGACGGUGCUCCACGAGAGCAACGUCGACGCCGCGAGGAAUGUGUCCACCUGGGUCGGCAGCUGCUUCAUCACGCCGGUCGUCGGAGCUUUCUUGGCCGAUUCUUAUUGGGGACGAUACUCGACAAUUGCAAUCUUCCUCUCUGUUUACAUCUUUGGGAUGCUCAUCAUGACAUCAUCGACGGCGCUUCCCUGGCUCCUGCCUCGUUUUUCCGACGAGAGCAGUGGUGUCCAUCGCGCCGCCGUAUACCUGGGGCUCUACCUUGUCGCCCUCGGCACCGGCGGGAUCAAGCCCUGCGCCACGGCCCUGGGCGCCGACCAGUUCGACGUUGCCGACCCGGCGGAGCGGGUGGCCAAGGGAUCCUUCUUCAACUGGUACUACUUCUCGAUCAACAUCAGCUCGCUGCUGUCGGCGACGUUGCUCGUAUGGGUGCAGGACAACAUCGGGUGGACCGUCGGGCUCGCGAUCCCGACGGUGCUCAUCGGGUUCGGCCUCGCCGUAUUCGUUGCCGGCGGGAAGAUAUACAGGUACAAGCCACUGGGAGUGGGAGGUAGCCCGCUGACGAGGGUCUUCCAGGUGGUUGUCGCCGCCGCAAGGAAUUGCCGUCUCGAGCUGCCCGAUGAUGCCUCGGCCCUGCACGAACAUGGCGGGGCGGAGCAUACCAGUCAAUUCAGGUUCUUUGACAAGGCUGCGAUCGUGAUGCCGUCGACGGAGAAGAAGGGCCCGUGGCGGCUCUGCGCGGUGUCGCAGGUGGAGGAGCUGAAGAUGCUGCUGCGGAUGUCCCCCGUCUGGGCGUCGACGCUGGUCUUCUUCGCGGUCACCGCGCAGAUGUCGUCGACGAUGAUCGAGCUGGGGAUGGCCAUGGACAACCGCGUCGGCACCUGUGUCGUGCCGCCGGCGUCGAUCUCCACCUUUGACAUUGUCAGCGUCCUCGUCUGGGUUCCCAUCUACGACGCCGUGCUGGUGCCGCUCGCGCGGCGCGUCACCGAUCAGGACAGGGGCUUCACGCAGCUGCAGCGCAUCGGCGUCGGCCUUGCUCUGUCCGCGGCCGCCAUGGCGUACGCCGCGUCGGUCGAGACGAGGCGGCUGGCGGCGGCGCCGGAGACCUCGAUGAGCAUCAUGUGGCUGGCGCCGUGCUACUUCGUGCUGGGCGCGGCCGAGGUGUUCACCAGCAUCGGCAUGCUCGAGUUCUUCUACGACCAGUCCCCGGAGUCCAUGAAGAGCCUGGGUGUGGCGCUCGCGCAGCUCGCCGUCGCUGGCGGGAACUACCUCAACUCUGGCCUGCUCGGCGCCGUCGCGUCGGCCACGGGGUGGAUCCCGGACAACCUCGACCAAGGCCACCUUGACUACUUCUUCUGGUUCAUGGCGGCUCUCAGCGUGCUUAACCUGUUGCAGUUCGUCUACUGCCACUAG
Molecule: ribosomal RNA, 1641 nt
Filed under: Triticum aestivum (bread wheat)
Lineage: Eukaryota; Viridiplantae; Streptophyta; Magnoliopsida; Poales; Poaceae
Description: partial small subunit ribosomal RNA
Source: RNAcentral